UACAGAGGGUGCGAGCGUUGUUCGGAAUUACUGGGCGUAAAGCGCGCGCAGGCGGCCUUUUAAGUCUGGCGGGGAAAUGCCGGGGCUCAACCCCGUUGCAGGCCGCGGAUACUGGGAGGCUGGAGACGAGUAGAGGCAAGCGGAAUUCCGGGUGUAGCGGUGGAAUGCGUAGAGAUCCGGAAGAACACCGGUGGCGAAGGCGGCCUGCUGGGCAGUUGCUGACACUGAGGCGCGACAGCGUGGGGAGCAAACAGG
RNAcentral lists this ribosomal RNA (255 nucleotides) under uncultured bacterium. RNAcentral's name for it is "partial 16S ribosomal RNA". It matches the Rfam family "Bacterial small subunit ribosomal RNA", at positions 524 to 776 of the family's 1533-position model. The record is from RNAcentral.